UGGGGAAUAUUGGACAAUGGGCGCAAGCCUGAUCCAGCAAUGCCGCGUGUGUGAAGAAGGCCUUCGGGUUGUAAAGCACUUUUAUCGGGAGCGAAAUACUACUGGCUAAUAACCGGUGGGGCUGACGGUACCCGAGGAAUAAGCACCGGCUAACUUCGUGCCAGCAGCCGCGGUAAUACGAAGGGUGCAAGCGUUAAUCGGAAUUACUGGGCGUAAAGGGUGCGUAGGCGGUUUGUUAAGUCUGUCGUGAAAUCCCCGGGCUCAACCUGGGAAUGGCGAUGGAUACUGGCAAGCUAGAGUGUGUCAGAGGAUGGUGGAAUUUCCGGUGUAGCGGUGAAAUGCGUAGAGAUCGGAAGGAACAUCAGUGGCGAAGGCGGCCAUCUGGGACAACACUGACGCUGAAGCACGAAAGCGUGGGGAGCAAACAGGAUUAGAUACCCUGGUAGUCCACGCCCUAAACGAUGCGAACUGGAUGUUGGUCUCAACUCGGAGAUCAGUGUCGAAGCUAACGCGUUAAGUUCGCCGCCUGGGGAGUACGGUCGCAAGACUG
This 550-nucleotide ribosomal RNA is filed under the name uncultured bacterium. RNAcentral's name for it is "bacterial SSU rRNA". It matches the Rfam family "Bacterial small subunit ribosomal RNA", at positions 355 to 896 of the family's 1533-position model. The record is from RNAcentral.